Molecule: long non-coding RNA, 880 nt
Organism: Rosa rugosa (rugosa rose)
Lineage: Eukaryota; Viridiplantae; Streptophyta; Magnoliopsida; Rosales; Rosaceae
Exons: 7
Source: RefSeq, a predicted model, not a curated record
UAGAUUUCUCAAACACACUGAAAACGCCCCUCUCUCAAACUUCUCUCUUGUUCACAGCACAUCUCUCAAACCAAAACCACUUAACUGAAAAAUCCAGCGUCAAAUCCAACAGCAAUCUCUUCUACUCGUUCACUAUACUGCUGGCGAAGACGGAGGUACAAUCCAACGACUUCGUCUUCAUUCUCUCAAGUCUGAUUGUCUCAAUACACUGAAAACCCAGACCUCCUCAAAAUCUUCAAUCCAGUCUCGGCGACGGUCGUAUUCUAAAUUUCUUUUUCAGAAUCAGGACAGAUCAAAUCAACAAAACAACAUUUUGAAUCGACUGGUUUAAGCUGCUUCAUGAGGAAUGCAUCGAGUUCAAUAAGCUAGGUCUUCUGGAUAAUGUUGCUCAGAUAUGUGUGCUGGAGUUUAUUUGUUAAACAGUCGUUGCGUCAAACUUCCAAGGAAAAUAAUGCAGCUCUACCAACAAAGAUAUAUUCCCCAAGAUUGGAUUCAGCUCCUCUUAGAUGGGUCAAUUUUGCUCAUGGAUUGCUACUUUUACCAUGCCAGGUAACUCAUGCAAGACUAAAUAAUGAAGGUUUGAUGUUGGACAAGGACCUCAGAAGUUCAAAGCUGGCGACAAAGUUGUAGCAUUUCACCAUGUGAGAAGAGCCUUUGCUUCAGAAUUGGAAUGAACAGAAGUAGUAGAAGAAAAUGCUAACAACUGAAGCUGCUCAAGGCACAAGGUUGUGUUAAUUAACUACUUGUUUCUAUGUACUUAUUAUGUCAAGAUAAUGCAUUGAUGACUUUGUAUGUACUUGAAUAAGAUAAUGCAUUGAUGACUUGUACAUCUGGAGUUGUUAAUAUGAAAGGAUUCAUAUAUAUUGAUUCUUUGCCUACA